CCAACCCGAUUCCUCUUCCAAUUUCAAACUCCCCCUAAAUUUUUUGUGCUUGUAUUCCCUCCCUCCAUUUUCUUCGGUAAAUCAAUUUCCUCUCAACUCAUUCUCUUCACACACCUCUUCAACUCAAAAUCCUAGCUCAUGAUCCAGAAUAACAAAGCAAGUACAUGUCUCAAAGCUCCGACGUGAACCACCAUUCUAACCCAACCCGUUACCUAUUAGUUUUGGUCAAAACGAGGUCUUCGAUUGCAAAAAUAGAUUUAGGGUUCCGACUAGAGAGAUUUAGUAAGGAGCGAUACUGGAGUAAAUGCGCAUAAGUCGAAGACGUGAGAGGAAUCUGGAAAAGCAUAGGCUUCUUCCAAAGGAAAUGCAUAGAACCCCAAUUGGCCAAUUCUUCUUUCUCUAUCUAAUUCGUUCUGAUUUACCUUCAUAAUCUGAUUGGUUGAUAUGUCUGCUGGUGGUCAACUUGAAGCCAACAAGAAAGCUAUGAAGAUCCAGGUGAUAUGGCUGAAGCAAUUGAUUUGACUGGAUAUGGAGGUGUUUUGAAGAUGCUUGUGAAGUGAAGAGUGCUAAAAAUCUGAUACUAUUGCUCCUUCAGAGAGUCUUCCUCUUGUUGAUGGUUGGGGAGGUUGCCAAAAUAACUUGCAAGUCAAAUUAUGCCUCUGGUAGCACUGGUUCUCCGCCAGAUAUUCCACCAGAGUAAUUACCUCAUAGCUUAUCGUGUCUAAUAUUAUGCAAUUGUUAUUCCAUGUUAACCAGAGUGCAACUCUUAUCUUUGAGGUGGAGCUGGUGGCUUGCGGGCCAAGAAAAGGUUCUCGCGUCACUAACGCCAUAGAUGAAAGGGCUAGACUAGACUAAGGUUGUUUUGAAUGGGUAUUUGAGGAGGAUGCGGUCUAUUUCGAUUACUUGGAAUUAGAUUAGUGACUCCAAGGGACUGCAGUCGUUAGUUUUAUUGCACCGCCUUCAAGUCAGAUAUUUACGAGUUCAUAAUCUCAAUUUUUAGGUUGGGGAGGUUGCCAAAAUAACUUGCAAGUCAGAUUAUGCUUAUGUGCAACUCUUAUCUUUGAGGUGGAGCUGGUGGCUUGCAGGCCAAGAAAAGGUUCUCGCGUCGCUAACGCCACAGAUGAAAGGGCUAGACUAGAGUAAGUUAUGUAUCCAACUUUAUACACUUGAACAUAUAAUUGGAUGGGGGUGUAAACUAGCUGGGCCGAGUCCGAGCCUGACUAUGCUUGAGCUCGGCUCGGUUUGAGCCUACUUAUUUGAGCUCGAGCUCGGCUUGUGAGUAAAACCCAAAGCUUGAGCUUGGCUCGAGCUAUUUUGAGAACAACCUCAACGAGCUAAAAGCUAGGUUCGAGCUCGCUUCAAUGUUGCUUAAAUGAGCCAAAGUUCAGCUCGAGCUUGGCUCGCUAAUCUUAUCAUUAUUAUAUCAUAUAUAAAAACUAAAAAAUUGGUUGGGCUCGUUUAGGCUUGCGUGCCUAGACGAGCCUUGUACUUUUAGGCUUGAGCUCGAGCUCGAUAACUUAUGAGCUCUAUUUCAGGCUUCAAGGCUCGGCUUGUUCGAGCUUUUAACCGAGCCAAUAACGAGUAGCCUUGAGCCUUUGACCUUGUUUACACCCCUACUUUCAUGCUCAAAUGGAUCAUGUUUAAUAACUAUUGAGCUGAACUUAUAUUUCUAUGCUCAAAUGGAUCAUGUUUAAUAACUAGUGAGCUGAAGAGGCAAAGGGAAAUGGUUGCUGCACAGAAGGAAGAAGAGAAAAUGAAGUGUGAAGAAGCAAAGGCAGCAGUUGUUCCUCGUAUGCAAGUAGAGAGUAUAUGGACUUGAAGAAAACAACCAAGAAAU
Molecule: RNA transcript, 1837 nt
Organism: Helianthus annuus (common sunflower)
Lineage: Eukaryota; Viridiplantae; Streptophyta; Magnoliopsida; Asterales; Asteraceae
Gene name: peptidyl-prolyl cis-trans isomerase FKBP20-1
Exons: 7
Source: RefSeq, a predicted model, not a curated record